RNAcentral lists this ribosomal RNA (497 nucleotides) under uncultured bacterium. RNAcentral describes it as "partial 16S ribosomal RNA". It matches the Rfam family "Bacterial small subunit ribosomal RNA", at positions 28 to 507 of the family's 1533-position model. The record is from RNAcentral.
GAUGAACGCUGGCGGCGUGCCUAAUACAUGCAAGUCGAGCGAACGGACGAGAAGCUUGCUUCUCUGAUGUUAGCGGCGGACGGGUGAGUAACACGUGGAUAACCUACCUAUAAGACUGGGAUAACUUCGGGAAACCGGAGCUAAUACCGGAUGAUAUUUUGAACCGCAUGGUUCAAAAGUGAAAGACGGUCUUGCUGUCACUUAUAGAUGGAUCCGCGCUGCAUUAGCUAGUUGGUAAGGUAACGGCUUACCAAGGCAACGAUGCAUAGCCGACCUGAGAGGGUGAGCGGCCACACUGGAACUGAGACACGGUCCAGACUCCUACGGGAGGCAGCAGUAGGGAAUAUUCCGCAAUGGGCGAAAGCCUGACGGAGCAACGCCGCGUGAGUGAUGAAGGUCUUCGGAUCGUAAAACUCUGUUAUUAGGGAAGAACAUAUGUGUAAGUAACUGUGCACAUCUUGACGGUACCUAAUCAGAAAGCCACGGCUAACUACGUG